RNAcentral lists this ribosomal RNA (253 nucleotides) under uncultured bacterium. RNAcentral's name for it is "partial 16S ribosomal RNA". It matches the Rfam family "Bacterial small subunit ribosomal RNA", at positions 524 to 776 of the family's 1533-position model. The record is from RNAcentral.
CACGGGGGGAGCAAGCGUUGUUCGGAAUCACUGGGCGUAAAGGGCGUGUAGGCGGUCAGGUAAGUGAGACGUGAAAUGCCCCGGCUUACCCGGGGACCUGCGUCUCAUACUGCUUGGCUUGAGUACGGGAGAGGGUGUGGGAAUUCCUGGUGUAGCGGUGAAAUGCGCAGAUAUCAGGAGGAACACCGGUGGCGAAGGCGGCAUCCUGGACCGGCAUUGACGCUGAGGCGCGAAAGCUAGGGGAGCAAACGGG